CCUACGGGUGGCAGCAGUGAGGAAUAUUGGUCAAUGGACGCAAGUCUGAACCAGCCAUGCCGCGUGCAGGAAGACGGCUCUAUGAGUUGUAAACUGCUUUUGUACGAGGGUAAACGCAGAUACGUGUAUCUGUCUGAAAGUAUCGUACGAAUAAGGAUCGGCUAACUCCGUGCCAGCAGCCGCGGUAAUACGGAGGAUUCAAGCGUUAUCCGGAUUUAUUGGGUUUAAAGGGUGCGUAGGCGGUCGGAUAAGUUAGAGGUGAAAUCCCGGGGCUCAACUUCGGAAUUGCCCCUGAUACUGGUUGGGUAGAGAAGAGGUGGGGGAGGCGGAAUGGAAGGUGGAGCAGUGAAAUGCUUAGGGAU
This 362-nucleotide ribosomal RNA is filed under the name uncultured bacterium. Its description in RNAcentral is "partial 16S ribosomal RNA". It matches the Rfam family "Bacterial small subunit ribosomal RNA", at positions 338 to 697 of the family's 1533-position model. The record is from RNAcentral.